UACAGAGGGUGCUAGCGUUAAUCGGAAUUACUGGGCGUAAAGGGCGCGUAGGCGGGCGAUUAAGUUAGUUGUGAAAUCCCUGGGCUUAACCUAGGAACUGCGACUAAGACUGGUUGUCUGGAGUACUGUAGAGGGCGGUGGAAUUUCCGGUGUAGCGGUGAAAUGCGUAGAGAUCGGAAGGAACAUCAGUGGCGAAGGCGGCCGCCUGGACAGAUACUGACGCUGAGGCGCGAGAGCGUGGGGAGCAAACAGG
This 253-nucleotide ribosomal RNA is filed under the name uncultured bacterium. RNAcentral's name for it is "partial 16S ribosomal RNA". It matches the Rfam family "Bacterial small subunit ribosomal RNA", at positions 524 to 776 of the family's 1533-position model. The record is from RNAcentral.